Molecule: ribosomal RNA, 418 nt
Filed under: uncultured bacterium
Lineage: Bacteria
Description: bacterial SSU rRNA
Rfam family: Bacterial small subunit ribosomal RNA
Source: RNAcentral
UUUUCGACAAUGGGGGGAACCCUGAUCGAGCCAUCCCGCGUGUGGGACGAAGGCCUUCGGGUUGUAAACCACUUUUCUCAACGAAGAAAAGUCUUAGUCUAAUACCUUAAGAUGCUGACGGUGUUUGAGGAAUACGCACCGGCAAACUAUGUGACAGCAGCCGCGGUAAUACAUAGGGUGCAAGCGUUAAUCGGAAUUACUGGGCGUAAAGGGUGCGCAGGCGGCUUGGAAAGAACGGUGUGAAAUCCCGGGGCUCAACCCCGGAACUGCACUAUUAACUAUCAAGCUAGAGUAUGUCAGAGGGGGGUGGAAUUCCGCGUGUAGCAGUGAAAUGCGUAGAUAUGCGGAGGAACACCAAUGGCGAAGGCAGCCCCCUGGGAUAAUACUGACGCUCAGGCACGAAAGCGUGGGUAGCAAA